This 879-nucleotide ribosomal RNA is filed under the name uncultured bacterium. RNAcentral's name for it is "bacterial SSU rRNA". It matches the Rfam family "Bacterial small subunit ribosomal RNA", at positions 31 to 900 of the family's 1533-position model. The record is from RNAcentral.
GAACGCUAGCUACAGGCUUAACACAUGCAAGUCGAGGGGAAACGACAUCGAAAGCUUGCUUUUGAUGGGCGUCGACCGGCGCACGGGUGAGUAACGCGUAUCCAACCUGCCCACCACUUGGGGAUAACCUUGCGAAAGUAAGACUAAUACCCAAUGAUAUCUCUAGAAGAUAUCUGAAAGAGAUUAAAGAUUUAUCGGUGAUGGAUGGGGAUGCGUCUGAUUAGCUUGUUGGCGGGGUAACGGCCCACCAAGGCAACGAUCAGUAGGGGUUCUGAGAGGAAGGUCCCCCACAUUGGAACUGAGACACGGUCCAAACUCCUACGGGAGGCAGCAGUGAGGAAUAUUGGUCAAUGGACGAGAGUCUGAACCAGCCAAGUAGCGUGCAGGAUGACGGCCCUAUGGGUUGUAAACUGCUUUUAUAAGGGAAUAAAGUGAGUCUCGUGAGACUUUUUGCAUGUACCUUAUGAAUAAGGACCGGCUAAUUCCGUGCCAGCAGCCGCGGUAAUACGGAAGGUCCGGGCGUUAUCCGGAUUUAUUGGGUUUAAAGGGAGCGUAGGCCGGAGAUUAAGCGUGUUGUGAAAUGUAGACGCUCAACGUCUACACUGCAGCGCGAACUGGUUUCCUUGAGUACGCACAAAGUGGGCGGAAUUCGUGGUGUAGCGGUGAAAUGCUUAGAUAUCACGAAGAACUCCGAUUGCGAAGGCAGCUCACUGGAGCGCAACUGACGCUGAAGCUCGAAAGUGCGGGUAUCGAACAGGAUUAGAUACCCUGGUAGUCCGCACGGUAAACGAUGGAUGCCCGCUGUUGGUCUGAAUAGGUCAGCGGCCAAGCGAAAGCAUUAAGCAUCCCACCUGGGGAGUACGCCGGCAACGGUGAAAC